This is a non-coding RNA of Macaca mulatta (Rhesus monkey), 3417 nucleotides long. NCBI's taxonomy places the organism in Eukaryota, Metazoa, Chordata, Mammalia, Primates, Cercopithecidae. The record is from RefSeq and is a predicted model, not a curated record.
AACCACUUUGACUAUAUGUCCUUGGGUGAAGCCGUCAGUGACCUUCGCCAGGCAGCUGACAUUCAAGGCACUGGUGAGGACUCCUCCAUUGCGUUCAAUGAUUUGUUUCCACAGAACUGUUGUAUCCAGAAAAGACACAGGGAACAGGGGUUACCACUGAGAAUCAGUGCCAGUUUCCCUCUCGGUUGAAAGUUGCAUCUCAUCAAGAAAGGAAUACACAAAAGUCUACUCUAACUUAUUUGUAACUCAAAUGAACCAAAGCCAAGUAACUAAAUGCUUUCCUCUAGAGAAUUUUCAACCAUAAGCCAUACAUAUCAAUGACCCUGAGGUCUACAGAUCUACAAGUGCCCUGCAAAUUAACAAGGAAAAACACCAGCAGUAUAGUUUUAAUGUGGUACCUGUAAAGAUGUUGACAAUCUUUCAACAUUUGAAAUUUUCAUAGGGUGUAUAAUGGCAUCUCUUCUCAUCAGAAUAUUGUAUUUCCCAAGUAAUUUGGAUAAGGAGUUUAACUUAUUUUUUUAGGUGUAAAGUUAAUAUCUCAUAUUAUUUUUACAUCUGGAAUCAGAAUGCAGAUUCCAAUUUUCAUCAGCUACUGCCAGGGUCAGUUCCCUUUCAGUGGAAGACACUGUAUUACACAUUGUAUUAAAUAGAGCAAUUUGACCCUUAUUCUUUCCCCCUCAGCAACUGUAAACACGCACUGGUUGACUAGAGUCCUUCAGAUGAGGGCCUGGGUGUUCUCUGGUUUGUGGGACCUGGAGUAAAUGAGAUAUUUCAAUCUGAACACAGGGGUGCUGUGAAAAUGAAUUAUGAAAUAAUUCUGGGUGCUUAACUUUAGAGAUGGAAUGAACUCCUGUACAAUCCUUAAAAUCAUUCUGUAUUUGGAGAAUUAACUCUAUUCUGUAAAGGGAACACAAGGGAAGUAAAGGAGACUUGCUGUAACUUAUUUAAUUAUAUCCAGACAGUGGAGAAGGGUGAAGGGUGUUUACAAGAGCAUCUGUCAGUCUCAGCACUGGGAUAAUCUGGUCAAAUAUCUCUAAACCAUUUUGAGUUUACUUGAGGAACACUUGAAACCAUUUUUAAAAAAUGUCAAUGACUACCUGAUCUGAGCAUUGUCAGGCCUGGUAAGGGGUUAAUUCUGAGUCUGUUAAAUGACUACAUCAUACAAGUAUGUUGAUCCAAAAAUGGCUGAUAAAAGGAAAAGGUCUACUUACUGUAAAGGAAUACAAUGGCUUAUAAUGUAACUAUGAACCAUGCUGGAGAAUCUGGCUUUUGGGCUGUGAGCUAUUCCAGCAGUUCACUCCCACUGUCCUCUUUUGGGGGGUCCUUGGCCCUGUGGGUGAGCUGAGCUGCUGGGAAAGGGUGAACUGUACCUCGGGGCCUGCCAGUUUCUCUGAGCUGUGGAGGCUCAGGCAUCCAGGGUUUGGAGACCUGCAGUGAAACCAAGGAGGGCCACAAGGACCCCAAACUGGCCUAAAGGAUCAUCAGAUCCCCAAUCUACUCUGCUCCUUCCUUGGUGGGUUUCUUUGAGUUUGAGCCCCAAACUAGUCUUAUCUGUAAAACAGGCGUAGAAGGAUUGACUUCUCAGUGCUGCUAUGAAAAACAAGCCCAACAGUGUUUAUAAAGCACUCGGAAGUGCAGCAGCCCGGCAUGUGGUGGGGACUUGACUUUCUAUAGCUACGUUACUGUUGUUAUUACAAUAACAAUGAUUGUUCAUUCCAUCUUGCACUGAAGUUUCCUAACCCUCAUUAAAACAUCAACUACAAAAGACAACAUAAAAUAAGCUACAGAGUGUUUCAAAGCCUGUUUGUGUAGGGAUGGAUGGCAGCAGGUGAAGACUAUCCUUAUCCAAAUAUAACUGUUGCAGAGUUAGAGAUAAGAAAACAUAGCCCACGGUAAAAAUGAUCAACAACAACACCUAGCCCACAUCUUCACUUGAGAUCCGGCGUGUCUGCUCGUCACAUUUAUAACAUCUAAACAAAGUACCAGCGGGUCUGAGUGGUGACUCUGGAAGCUGAGAAGGGAACACGAUUUAUGGGAGAGUCACAGGUAAGGCCCCAAAAGCUGAAGUCGACAUCCCAGGCUGGGUUGCACGCUUGCGGACUCAGUUCUGGGCUAGCAGGAGCAAAAUUCCUACCUGUGGUGCCAAAGGGAACCAUCAGUGGGAAAGGGUGAGGGCCACGUGCUCCCUGGCAACCAGUAACUCUCUCCCUGGCUUCUCUGUGAGGUCACAACAGUCACAAUCUUGGAAGUUUUCUGCCCAAAUCAUCCAACCUUUUUGCAGGAGUGAUCACAUGAUGAGUAGAGAUGCAUUAGUAACGGAGUACAGUUACUGUACUGGGAAACGGUGAACUGUACCGUGGGGCCUGUCAGUUCCUCCAAGCUGUGGACGACUAGGCAUCAAGGCUUUGGAGACCUGCAGUGAGACCAACAAGGGCCAGAGGGACAUGUAAACCCGCUGCUGCCCAUUUAAAGUGUAGGAUACUUGGUAUUCACGGAGAGUUUCGGUCAAGAUUCCUCUCAAUACAUGACUCCUUGGUUGCUCUCCAUAGAUCACCAUUUUUACUGGAGUUGCAGCAAGAGAGAUCUGUGAAGCAGUCCCAGCUGUGGUGGGACCUGCCCACCUGCCCGCUCAUCUGAAGACCCAGAGAAGGGGAUGCAAAACCAGGCUUGGCUUCCUUCCUGCAGCUGAUGAACUUGAGCUGUUGGUCUUUCAAAGAAUCUCUUCUAUUGCUUUUACACAACCACCCACUCAUGGGUUCUUGGCCCUUAAAUAGCUGCUCUGGGGCCCACGGUGGUGUCAGAUCCGCCCUUCACUUCUCAGCACUGUCUGUCCCCACAUGGCCUGGAGGAAUUUGAGGAGUGGGGCCGUGGGGACUGUCGCACACCUUCGAGCUCCAUUGCGGGUGGAGAGAUGGCCAAGCCGCCGUCCAUGCUACGGAUUGGCAGCCCUUGCUUUAUGGACUGGAAGAGACCACUUUUGAUCGCCACAAAGAUAAGAACAGUCUUUCUCUAAGACAGAUGUCCCAGCCACUGUGGCUAUGAAAACUUCAAGGUCACUGGAGGAAAUGCUGGACGAGGGGCAAUGAUGUCAGCCAGAAUGGUGGCCUGAACACAUCACUCCCCAAGACAGAAAUAUUGAGGAGCAUGUGCUUCAGUGGACAGAACCCAGGGUCUGAGAGCAGUGUCUGGUGCAGCUUUAUCAUCUGCCCAUAGGUGGAGGGACGCUUUCUCUCCUUCCUCUCCCAUCACGAUGCUGUGAGGAGAUUCAGGUAGGAAUCUGUAGUGUGAUUUGAAUCCUAAAGGAUGCGUGGUGUUUUAUCAAAAGAACAAAAUUGCCAGCCAUCCAUCAAUAGCUUCAUUUUUAAAGGGCCUAUAGUUUUGUCAAACAAUAAAAACCAUUCUGUUCAGAGUCCAGAA